UUUCUUCCUGUUUUUACUAAUUUUGACACACCAAGAUGGAAAGGGGGAAUAGUAUGUGAAACGAAUUUAAUUUCCGAAGAUCGUAGUUCCAGAAAAAAUACAACAAAUGGAAAGUGUUCAAGGAUACUUAACUUACUUAACUACCAGUAACUAUCACCUUCCCGUAUGCCAUCGUGGUGUAAUUGGAAAGUAUGCUCGACUGAUAAUCGGAAUGUCAGGAGUACAAAUUCCGGCGACGGCACUGCACAUUUUCCACGGCUUCUGCUUCGAAAUGCCUAACGACUCUACAAAUUGUGCUAAAAUGCUAAGGGGGAAAUAUGCGAAGUUUUUUCCUCCAGCUUCUUUGCGCUUUUAAAGAAUGAAAAAUGCUUUCGUCCCUGUGAUGCUGUAAGAAUACAAGAUCUUCGUCUGCUGACUAACUUAAAAGUUGCGGAGAGGAGAUUAUUUUGAAGCAAGAUUCUGAGAUUCUGAAUCAGGAGUCUCGAAAGUAGCGUAUAUCGACCCUACGACAUGAUAAAACGUGGCGAGGGGUCAAUGAAAUCCCAGACAGUGAUUUUCAAACAGUGUAUGGAAGCAUUUCGUCGAGAGUUGAAAGCGGGCAAGAAAUGUUAGAAAAGUGAACCUAGUUGUAAAUAUUCGACAAAAUAAAUGAAACUCGAGGCUUAGAUUGUUUGCAAAAUUCGAUGUAAUGAAUUUAGUUAGAAAUAAAUGAAUCAGUUUAUUACAGA
Long non-coding RNA from Stegodyphus dumicola, 728 nucleotides. The record is from RefSeq and is a predicted model, not a curated record. NCBI's taxonomy places the organism in Eukaryota, Metazoa, Arthropoda, Arachnida, Araneae, Eresidae.